GGACGCGAUCAUACCAGCACUAAAGCACCGGAUCCUAUAGUUAAGCGUGCUUGGGCGAGAGUAGUACUAGGAUGGGUGAUCUCCUGGGAAGUCUUCGUGUUGCAUUCC
Triticum aestivum (bread wheat) is the source of this 108-nucleotide non-coding RNA. The record is from Rfam. NCBI's taxonomy places the organism in Eukaryota, Viridiplantae, Streptophyta, Magnoliopsida, Poales, Poaceae.